UACGAAGGGGGCUAGCGUUGCUCGGAAUUACUGGGCGUAAAGCGCACGUAGGCGGAUUGUUAAGUCGGGGGUGAAAUCCUGGAGCUCAACUCCAGAACUGCCUUCGAUACUGGCGAUCUCGGGUUCGGGAGAGGUGAGUGGAACUGCGAGUGUAGAGGUGAAAUUCGUAGAUAUUCGCAAGAACACCAGUGGCGAAGGCGGCUCACUGGCCCGAUACUGACGCUGAGGUGCGAAAGCGUGGGGAGCAAACAGG
This 253-nucleotide ribosomal RNA is filed under the name uncultured bacterium. Its description in RNAcentral is "partial 16S ribosomal RNA". It matches the Rfam family "Bacterial small subunit ribosomal RNA", at positions 524 to 776 of the family's 1533-position model. The record is from RNAcentral.